GCAUAUCAAUAAGCGGAGGAAAAGAAACCAACAGGGAUUGCCCCAGUAACGGCGAGUGAAGCGGCAACAGCUCAAAUUUGAAAUCUGGCCUUGUGCCCGAGUUGUAAUUUGUAGAGGAUGCUUUUGGCGACGCGCCUUCCGAGUUCCCUGGAACGGGACGCCAUAGAGGGUGAGAGCCCCGUCCGGUCGUGCGCCUAGCCUCUGUAAAGCUCCUUCGACGAGUCGAGUAGUUUGGGAAUGCUGCUCUAAAUGGGAGGUAUACGUCUUCUAAAGCUAAAUACCGGCCAGAGACCGAUAGCGCACAAGUAGAGUGAUCGAAAGAUGAAAAGCACUUUGAAAAGAGGGUUAAAUAGUACGUGAAAUUGCUGAAAGGGAAGCGCUUAUGACCAGACUUGGGCGCGGCGGAUCAUCCGGCGUUCUCGCCGGUGCACUCCACCGCCCCAGGCCAGCAUCAGUUCGCGCCGGGGGAUAAAGGCUUCGGGAAUGUGGCUCCUCCGGGAGUGUUAUAGCCCGUUGCGUAAUACCCUGGUGCGGACUGAGGUCCGCGCUCUGCAAGGAUGCUGGCGUAAUGGUCAUCAGUGACCCGUCUUGAAACACGGACCAAGGAGUCGUCUUCGUAUGCGAGUGUUCGGGUGUCAAACCCCUACGCGGAAUGAAAGUGAACGUAGGAGAGAGCUUCGGCGCAUCUCCGACCGAUCCUGAUGUUCUCGGAUGGAUUUGAGUAAGAGCAUACGGGGCCGGACCCGAAAGAAGGUGAACUAUGCCUGUGUAGGGUGAAGCCAGAGGAAACUCUGGUGGAGGCUCGCAGCGGUUCUGACGUGCAAAUCGAUCGUCAAACAUGGGCAUGGGGGGCGAAAGACUAAUCGAACCUUCUAGUAGCUGGUUUCCGCCG
RNAcentral lists this ribosomal RNA (892 nucleotides) under Emericellopsis tubakii. RNAcentral's name for it is "LSU rRNA". It matches the Rfam family "Eukaryotic large subunit ribosomal RNA", at positions 38 to 963 of the family's 3401-position model. Lineage: Eukaryota; Fungi; Ascomycota; Sordariomycetes; Hypocreales; Bionectriaceae. The record is from RNAcentral.